CCCCACUGCUAUCGGGAUGGGACUAAGACAUGCUAGUCGUGCGUCUCCAAGCCAUGGCGGAGACGCGGCGCACAGCUCAGUAACACGUGGCUAACCUGCCCUUAGGACAGGGACAACCCCGGGAAACUGGGGCUAAUCCCUGAUAGGUGAGGGUUCCUGGAAUGGGCCCUCGCCGAAAGGGCGCCUAGACCAUGCUUCUAGGCGCUGCCCAAGGAUGGAGCCGCGGCCAAUCAGGUUGUUGGUGAGGCAACGGCUCACCAAGCCUUUAACCGGUACGGGCCGUGAGAGCGGGAGCCCGGAGAUGGGUACUGAGACAAGGACCCAGGCCCUACGGGGCGCAGCAGUCGCGAAAACUCCGCAAUACGCGAAAGCGUGACGGGGCUAUCCCGAGUGCCGUCCGCUGAGGAUGGCUUUUCCCUAGUGUAUAAAGCUGGGGGAAUAAGGAGAGGGCAAGCCUGGUGUCAGCCGCCGCGGUAAUACCAGCUCUCCGAGUGGUGGGGAUGCUUAUUGGGCCUAAAGCAUUCGUAGCCGGUUGGGCAAGUCCUCCGUUAAAUCCAGCGAUUCAAUCGUUGGACUGCGGGGGAUACUGCCCGGCUUGGGGGCGGAAGAGGCCGACGGUAUUCUCGGGGUAGGGGUGAAAUCCUAUAAUCCCGGGAGGACCACCAGUGGCGAAGGCUGUCGGCUAGAACGCGCCCGACGGUGAGGGAUGAAAGCUGGGGGAGCGAACCGGAUUAGAUACCCGGGUAGUCCCAGCUGUAAACGAUGCAGGCUAGGUGUUGGCGCGGCUACGUGCCGCUCCAGUGCCGCAAGGAAGCCGUUAAGCCUGCCGCCUGGGAAGUACGGCCGCAAGGCUGAAACUUAAAGGAAUUGGCGGGGGAGCACCACAAGGGGUGAAGCUUGCGGUUU
This 906-nucleotide ribosomal RNA is filed under the name uncultured archaeon. Its description in RNAcentral is "bacterial SSU rRNA". It matches the Rfam family "Archaeal small subunit ribosomal RNA", at positions 21 to 903 of the family's 1478-position model. The record is from RNAcentral.